GAUGAACGCUGGCGGCGUGCCUAACACAUGCCAGUCGAGCGAACGGACGAGAAGCUUGCUUCUCUGAUGUUAGCGGCGGACGGGUGAGUAACACGUGGAUAACCUACCUAUAAGACUGGGAUAACUUCGGGAAACCGGAGCUAAUACCGGAUAAUAUUUUGAACCGCAUGGUUCAAAAGUGAAAGACGGUCUUGCUGUCACUUAUAGGUGGAUCCGCGCUGCAUUAGCUAGUUGGUAAGGUAACGGCUUACCAAGGCAACGAUGCAUAGCCGACCUGAGAGGGUGAUCGGCCACACUGGAACUGAGACACGGUCCAGACUCCUACGGGAGGCAGCAGUAGGGAAUCUUCCGCAAUGGGCGAAAGCCUGACGGAGCAACGCCGCGUGAGUGAUGAAGGUCUUCGGAUCGUAAAACUCUGUUAUUAGGGAAGAACAUAUGUGUAAGUAACUGUGCACAUCUUGACGGUACCUAAUCAGAAAGCCACGGCUAACUACGUG
This 497-nucleotide ribosomal RNA is filed under the name uncultured bacterium. RNAcentral's name for it is "partial 16S ribosomal RNA". It matches the Rfam family "Bacterial small subunit ribosomal RNA", at positions 28 to 507 of the family's 1533-position model. The record is from RNAcentral.